AGCCACUGACUAACGUACAUUGCGCCUAUCCCAAUUCCACUGUGCGUGUGACAGCGGCU
MicroRNA precursor from Esox lucius (northern pike), 59 nucleotides. The record is from Ensembl. NCBI's taxonomy places the organism in Eukaryota, Metazoa, Chordata, Actinopteri, Esociformes, Esocidae.